Molecule: long non-coding RNA, 2743 nt
Organism: Passer domesticus (house sparrow)
Lineage: Eukaryota; Metazoa; Chordata; Aves; Passeriformes; Passeridae
Exons: 2
Source: RefSeq, a predicted model, not a curated record
UUGCUGUCCCAGCACUGCACGCUGCUUUUGCACAUUUCUCCAUGUUCCCAGACAUUUACUCUUCCUUCAGCAUCUGCCACAUUGCGGUCGUGGAGUGCCAACACAGGAGUGGAGCACAUUGGAAAAGGAAAACAGCAGGACUGACCCAAACACACUUAAUAUAAAAUGAAAAGCUGCUGCUGCACUGGUGACACGCCGAGGGUCUGGCGUGAGCGGUGCUGGUGUUGCCUCCGUCUGUGAGUACUGAGGCUCUUCUGCUGCUUCCAGGAGCCUUCGCUAAGAUCCCUUCUCCUCCCAGUACGGAUAACACCAGCAACCGCAACGGGACCUCGCUACCUCCCUGCCCCACCACCUGGUGGCACUUCCCUGACCUGCCUUCUCCAGCUGCCACCCAGCUGCCCUUCGCACACCUCCCCUUAUCUCCUGGACCAAGGCCUCCAUGGUUACUUCAUGGAGCAGAGAGAUUCAGCUGCCUGGAGUGUUGCUGGGUGCUGCAGGGGAGCAUCCAUUCUGCACCCUGUGUUUCAGUCCCAGCAAACCCUCUGUCUGGUGUAAAGGCACCACCUGCUCCUCACACCCUUUGCUUCUUAUCUCCUUCUUGGCAGCUUGUCUGUCCCAUGAUCUUGCAUAGUGCAGAUGGCUGCAUGACACCCUUGGGAGUGAGGGGCAGGAGGGGACCUGCUCCACCCAACUUGCAAGCUUUCCUCCUGGCAGGCAGCAGAUCAGAUGGUGUCUGCCUUUCCCUCCUCCAGUGCAGCAGCACCUCUGUCACUUGUUGUCACUUGGUCUUGGUGAGCACAGCUCGCACUCCUCCUCCUGGGUGAGUCACCCCCGGCUUAGCUCCUGCACUGCUCUGGCUGCUGCGAUCCCAGCCCUGUGGACAGGAGAGGCACACUGGCCAUCACUAGUCGCUCCCCUGGAAGCAGAGUCACGGCGCCAAAACCAGGUGGUUGACAGUAGGGAUCACCUGCGCUGGGAAAAGGAAGAGGAGCUUGUGGACAGGGAAGUCCAGCUUACCCCAGUGCUGGCUGAAAGUUGGAGCAAAGCAAGGAUGUCACAUGUGGAUGUAUGAACAGCUGCUACUUCUCUCACAUGCGAACAGCCAAUCAGAAUUCUACGUGAAUUACAGUGACUUGAAUUAUGCCUUAUUGUGAUGGCGCUGAUCGUGGCAGAAGGUCUGGUGAGAGCUCUGAAAUGGAUCUGUCACUGGGUAGGGCAAGGUGAACACCAACCUGCUUCUCAAGUUGCAGGCAGACAUUGUAGUGUUAGCUGUGUUUCCCACAUCUCUAAUAGGAGAAACCACUGGAGUGUAUUCUUGGACAUUUAGUAUCUAGAUAUGUGGUUAGCAUUGUCUAAAGCACAGCUUGAGAACUUUUUGUAACAUUGUCAUUUAAAUCAAAAGGAAACCAGGAGAUUGAGUCAUAAUCCUCAAAUUGGUAUGUGGCCAUUUGUGUUGGCCCCAUGCUCGAAACAGAAUGGCUGCUGAGUGAAUAACAAAGGUUUGCACUUCCCUGCCCUGUUGGGCAAGACGUGCACUCAGGAGAGUGCCACCAGUGAAAGGAGUGAAGAUCCACAGUCUACCAAAGAACAAAAAAAGGAACAAGACAUAUUAGCAGUAUGAAUACAUAUUUCUGUUAAUAAUUAUUUAUAUUAUAGCUUACAUAUACUUCUUUAUUAGAAUGCCCGUUUAUUCAGUAGAAGACUUUUUUGCACAACUGACACCAAUAAUUAUUGUUUGCAAAAUGUUUAUAUCAUCCAAUUUACUGUUUCAUCUUUUUCCGAUUAGGUAACUUUUCUUGAUGGCAAUUAAACCCUUUAUAUUAGCAAUAUGAUUGUACAUAGAUAAUUUCACAGAGCCAUUAAGGCUUGAGAAGAGCCACAACUGAGUUGCAGAGUUUGGACAACAGGGAGAAGAUUAACUAUCUAACCACAGUAACUUCCUCUGUGCUUUGAGAUUGCCUUAAAAAAUGUGCUGAACUUUAUGGCUAACUAUUUUAAUUAGUUUAACUUUCAGCCUGCAAAUAUGUGAACGUGCUCUUAAGAUUAGGUCUGUGUCUGGGCUUCCAAACAAAUCCCAGUUAGUUUUCUACAUUUGUACACUCGGCAGAAGAUGCUACCUUAAGAACACUGAGACCAUGUCUUGUACUUAAAGAGAGCAGAAGGAGGAAGGCAUCCAAAGGCAUAGUAUCAAAAUAUCCUCCAAAGAAAUCUCCAGCAUGUAGUCAGAAAAUGAUGAUUUUUCAUUAUCAUUAGUUGGCCAGUGUUGUCACUUUCUACUUGAUAAUCUACUCAUUCCUAAAACCUGGACAUCUCAGAUGGGCAAAUUUCUGCUAGGAAAAGGCAGAUCUGUGGCAGCUGAUCCCAGAGGAACACACAUAUGAAUUCCCAGCUGUGCUCCAGCCAUUUGCCCAGCGUGCUUGUGCUGGCAGCAGGCAACUGUGUGCUUUGGGAAGGGUGCAGAAGGUUACAGGAAGUCGUGGGAUAGGUGGCUCUAGGAAGCUCUCCUCCCAGUUCCCAUUCCAGAUACAAACUGUUUGUAUUUCUUCCAGAUAUUUUUGUAAAAAAACCCCAAUGAUAUCUCAUUUCAGAGCUGUUUCAAGCCAUUGUCUGCUUCUUCAUGAAAUAAACAAACAGCGAUAGAAAUGUUACAAGUUCCUGAUGAUCAGUGCCUUUAGUUGUGCUUGUAAAAAUGCAUUUAUUCAUUAAUUUCAGUGAAGCAUAUGCUAUCAUAAUGACUGAUGAA